Molecule: non-coding RNA, 1556 nt
Organism: Mus caroli (Ryukyu mouse)
Lineage: Eukaryota; Metazoa; Chordata; Mammalia; Rodentia; Muridae
Source: RefSeq, a predicted model, not a curated record
CUGUAUCAUGAUUACAAGAAACUAGCCAGCACAUACAUGGAACUCUUGUGCCAGUGACAGGAUCACCAACUCUAUCACAGUGUGCCAAGCAUCUACUGCUUUACAUGACCUCUUCUAGUCUUCACCUCACUACCUGAUUCCCAUUUAUACACCAACUUUGGCUGCCAGCAUGAAGUAUAUUCUUGAUCACCCCAGGAAAACAGCUUCUGUGUGGUAAUCUCAGGGGUCUCUACAUGCAGUUUAUAAUGAUCUCAAGUUCAAGCAAUGAGGACAUUCUGCUCUUCCAAGUUCCAAGAAGCUUUUCCUGAAUACAGUUACCAUAUCUAGCUGGUGAAUGCUACAUCAAUAACAGAAGUAUCAGUAAAAAGCUGCAGGAGCAAUAUGGCUACUACUGCAGAUACUGAAUAAUAUGUCUAAUGGGUCUGACUCUGAUGUUCAAUGUUGUUGAAACUCAAGCAUUAAAGCUGUGCUUUCCCUCAGCAUCCUGAGAUUCUCACAAUGGAGGUUACUACCAUGAACUUCUGGAACUGUUCAAGAGAGAAUAGUUGAAAAAGGAUGGACAAUUUAUGGGCCGCAUUGAAGAAGUUUGAGGGGGCAGAGGAAUGGAAAUAUUAAGUGAGAUUCAUGGAAAGGAAAUACUUAUGGUCAAGAUUGUUUUUCACCUGCAAAAAGAAGACCACUUAAGAAAACACAAAGUACAGUAAUGGAAGUACUUUAUCACUUAAGAGCAUAGAGCAAGGAGAGUUAUUCAUGUUACUUGUGUUGGAUAAUAAGAGAGAUGGUAUCGUUCUCUUUGGCUACUAUAUGGGUUCUUCUUAGUUCCAUCCUGCAUCAACAUUUUCUUCCACCAUUUCAACUCCUAAUAGGGGAGGAAAAAAAGGAGAGAGGGGAAAUGAAAUUGUUCCCUGAAUAUCAAGUGUCAGAAAUUGUUCAAUAUUACAGGUACUUCCUGCUAAUUGAGUAAAUUGAGUUCCUUGGGGCAAGUUUGAACUUCACUGUCAUGAUACUUAAUGACUUUAUCUUCUUGUUUCUUCUUUGCUUACUACUACUAACAAACUACAGCCAACAACCAACCCAAAACCAAUAAUCCACCCACCCUGCCUCUUGGGACCCUAGCAUUUAUAUACCCUCUCAAACUCCUCAGAAUUCUAAACAUUACACUAUCACAGAAACUACCAGCAGCUGGACAAAUCACACCUAUGUUAGAGCAUGAAGCAACUGAUAGGUCACUUGCUGUGGAUAAUAUGAAGCAGCCCCAUAUCUCACACCUGGGAUAAAAACAAAAACAUAUUCUUAUAGUAUUUUUGUGAGUUUUACAGAAAUCAAAAUUCCAAAGUUGUCAUUACAAGAAGAAGCAUUCCUAGAAGAGCUUAUUCAUAUGCUGAGAUGUCAAAAACUCUACUAGUGUUCUCUGCAUUCUUCAUAUACUUUAAUGUUCAGUGUAGCAUUGGAGGAAGCAUUAUGCAAACCUAGGGUGUCACCCAGUAAAUAAGAGGUAUGGGUUGCUUAUUUGAGAGUAUAUAGUGUUGACAGUGAGGGUCAAUUAUGCAAUUUAA